CUGCGCCUGCAAGUCAGCAAUCCCCUUCUCAAUUUUUGCGUCCGGCCAACUAUUGCCGUAUCGUGCGUGCGCGCUUUGCUACACACGCACGACCUCGUGCGCUGCUUGCGGGGGUGGUUGCGGACGGCAAACUUAAACUUCUAAUUAAUGGCUUCUCCGGGGCAGAACAUCGUUCCUGGAAGCCAUGAAGCACUCAAUGACUACUGGCGGAAGACCCGUCUUGGUGGCCCAGUGGCUAUGCCGGUCUCGAGAGGAGCGCCGUAGCCGUGGCUCUGAAGUAUGUAUACCAUCCUUGCGUGUCCCACAGACAGCCUAGCCACUGGCGACGCAUUGCUUUCCGUGAUGCUGCACGCAUUAGCAGAGAUCACUGCAAACUGCGGCCGGUCUCCAAUUCUUCGACGCCAUUAAUCGGGACCGCUGGCUACUCUGAAUAAUCAUGACGAGUAGCCUAGUGUGCUAUCAACAAAGUUGACAUCGGCUAUUUUUGUUCCCACCCCUGUAAGAGCCUGUUAAGGCUUGCAGUAUUAAUAAAA
Molecule: long non-coding RNA, 533 nt
Organism: Dermacentor andersoni
Lineage: Eukaryota; Metazoa; Arthropoda; Arachnida; Ixodida; Ixodidae
Source: RefSeq, a predicted model, not a curated record